UGGAGGUUUCGAAGGGCAAUAGAAACCACUGGAAAAGAGCACAAGAAUGAAUCCUGUUAUAAUCCCUUCUUAACAUCUAAAAAUACAUCAUAUAAAAUAAUGUAACUGAAUAAAGUUUAAAAAAGGAGGCCACAGAAUGUGAAAAUGAUUCAUGACAAAUAUAACUGAAAAGCUUACAUUUCUAAAAAAAAAAAUCUAGAUUUAAUAAAAUUAUAUGUGGCUAAUCCUUAGCUUAGUGAUUUCUACUUAACAAAUGGAGUAUAAGAGGAUAAGUAUAGAAAAUUUCAUACAUAAGGAAAUAGAAAAUAAAAAUCUACAGAAAUACAAAUAAAUAUAAAUCAAUAGAAGUUAGAUAACUAUAAAUCAAACAGCUUAGAGUUUCCAUUAUCUUUCUACAAGUCUAACAAAAGUGAAAUAUUGUAACAAAGCCAGCAUCAAUGGGACUCAAGUAGAAUCCAAAGGAGAGGAUACUAUUUCCAUGAUGAUAUAUUCAUAAUAUUAAUUUAUGAUGUUUAAAAUAAUUUAGAAACAGCCUCCGAAGCUCUCACAAUAAAGAUAUGAUAAAGUAAACUUUGGCAUGCUGAUAAAAUGGAAUACUAUACAGCCAUUAAGAUAGUAAGUGUGAUGGUCAUUGAAAUGUAUAGUUAAAAGAAUGCAGAAAGACUAGGAAUAUGUAAGCAACACUUUCAAGUGAAUACAUGGGCGGAUGAGGGUUAGAAGUAAUUUCAGAGAAGUGCAUUUAGUGUGAGGGAUAUCCUUGUCUGUAAAGUGAAGUGCAUAAUAAAAAUGUAAGUGUAUGUGGACAUACAUCAUAUAGAAGAGGUGGUAGAGAGUAAUUUCUUCUUUCUCCUGGCUUCCCUGGGGAGCCAUGAGGAUGAAUUAAGUGGUUUGAACUUCUUGGAUCAAGAUAUGCACAGAUAGAAUGAGUGAACAGUUUAAGUUUGCCCUUGGAGACAUUUAAGGAUAUCCAUCUGUUGAAUAUUAUGAUGUUUUAAAGUUAAUUUAAUAACAUUAGAAAAUGCUCAUAAUUAGUGCUGUUUUGUUUUUAAAUGGUGCUAGAAUAUAUCCCCCCAUUAUGCUUGUGUGUCCUUCUCUCUCUCACACACACAAUACACUAAAAUUAGACUUUAUUGUUUAGCUUUAGUAAGAAAGAAAGAGAUGGAACUUCCAAAAUAGUUGUUGUGUGCCUCAACACCUGUCAGAUUUAAUUUAUUUCUCUCCACUUGACUCUCUCCCCUACCAUCCACCUACACCCCUAGAAGCCCCACCAUUAACAUACAGUAUCAUAAACUAAGAAAUUCUAAAGACAUUUCUUCCCCUUGUCCUUUCAGUAGUGCUGAGGUCAGAGCAGGCCAGCCUUGCAGCAGAACAAGAAGACAUGGGCAAAGAAAUGCCCUGUUAUUUGGAAAAUUUCUCUUAGAAAAAGGUUGAAUCCUUCAAGUACAGAGGGAGACGUAGAUAAAGAAACACAUUUUAAUACUGCGUUUCUUGAGUAUAUAAUGUUUUCAUGCCCUGAGGAUUGUUAAAAAUGAGGUUUUAAAAUGACAUUCUGAGUUUGUAAAAUUCUGAAAACAGAUGACAGAAUGGCAAUCUGUCCUGUUCCCCAACAAAAGAGUGCUCCAGACUUACUAUUAAAUGAAAAAGAUCACAAUACAGUUAUGUAUAUGGUAAGAGAUCAAUUAUGAAACACCUACCCUCCCACACACACCCAUAUCCAUUCAGAGAAAAUGUCCAUGGUGGCUAUUCGUAAAAUGGUGGAGUGAUGAGUAAUUUAAAUUUUCUUCUAUGUAAUUUCUCAAAUUUUCCAGAUUUUUCUUCCACCAGUAUGUGCUAGCUUCAUAACAAAGAGAAAAGUCAGAAGAGUUAUUAAUAGAAAGCAAUACCCAAGAGCCUGGGAAGCCCCCGUGUCAUGAAGUCAAGGGCAGCCAGGAUCAGGAAAUGGCAGCCGUCGCAGCUGCGCUGUGAAGAGCAAUGCCCAGCGAGGACCUGUUCAGCUGAGAACAGCUUCUCAAGAGAGGGCGGCCAAGAAGAGCUAGAGGAAUAAAUUGAGCCCAAGAGAACAAAAUGGCAGACGUGACAAACUCUCAUCAGCACUUAGCUCAGAUGACUCUCAGUAACAUGAGGAAGGAAGGCAGACUCCAGCUCUGUACUUGCUAAAGGUUAAACGAGACCUCAGAGAAUGUCUGCUCCAAUUGUCUCAUUUUCUAAGGAAGAGCCCCAAAAGAGCUCGCUUCAUGCUCUCACAGCUGCUCUGCGGAGGAUCCAGGACUAGAACUCUAGCAUCCUGACUCCCAGCUGGGCGUCUGGGCUCUCUGCCUCUCACAGUGUUGUUACUGUGAUCCUCACCAUUGUUUACAUGAAGAAAAUACACUAGGGGCUGGGGCUGGGGCUCAGGGGCAGAGCGCUUGCCUGGCAUGUGUGAGGCACUGGGUUCGAUCCCUAGCACCACAUAAAAAUAAAAUAAAUAAAAUAAAGGCAUGCUGUCUAUACACAACUACAAUUUUAAAAAAGAGAGAAAGAAAAGAAAAGUGCACUAUGUAAUAUUCAUCUAGGACUGGAAACUCUGCCUUUACUCCAGGUGGAGUCCCAAACAUUAUUCCAAGUUGGGACAGAUUUCCAAAAUUCCAGUAUUGCUCUUGACUCUAAUCUUCCUCCCUACAAUGAACUAAAUGUCUGUGUCCUCCCCAAAUCCAUGUGUUGAAAUCCUGCCUCUCCAACUGUGGUGACAUUAGGAGGUAGGGAUUGUGGGAGGUAAUUGGGUCAUGAGGGUAGAGCCUUCCUUCAUCAAAAGGAUUAGUGCCCUUAUAAAAGGGACCCCAGAGAGCUCUCUUGCCCUCUUUCUGCUGUGUGAGAACAUAGCAAGAAGACAACAGUUUGCAAUCAGAAGAGGCCUCUUGCCAGGACCUAACCCUGCUGGCAUUGUGACCUCAGGCCCCUAGCCUCCAGGACCAUGAGAAAUAAAUUUGUGAUGUGGAUCAGUCACCCAACCUGUAGUAUCCGUUACAGCAGCUGGCAUUGGCUGAGACAUUCCUCAAACCCACUGCUGCUGUCUCGGGUUGACUGCUCAUUCAUUUUUCUUUUCCUUUCCAUUCUUUUUCAUGAUGUUAAAGCCUACCAAAAAAGCAAGCAAGAAAGAAUAGUGCAAGAACCCCCGUGUAUCCUUUACCCAAACACAAAAAUCAUUAACAUUUUGCCCUAUAUGUAGGAGCAGCCAUACAUGACAGAUGUGCUAUUCACAUAGGGCACAUUUGUGUAAGAGCAUCUAUAUGUAUCAUAUAUGUACAUCACACAUUUUUCUGAAAUAUUUUGAAAGUGUGUUGAAGACAUUAUGAUACUUUACCCCUUGAGUCUCCAGUACCAUCUUGGAAAAAAAGAGCUACAUAAUUAUGACAUCAUAGCACCUAAGGAAACUAAUAUUUAACUCACACUCAGUUGUUUCCAAAAUGUCGUUUACAGCUCUUUUAAGUUUUUGAUCAAGGAUCAUCUCCAAGCCUAAGAUUUGGUGUGGUCUGUUGAGUCUCUUUAGUUUCUUUUGAUUUGGGACAGUCCCCUCCCAUUUUGUUUAUCAUGACAUUGAAUUUUUGAAGGGUUAUAGCCAAAUUUUUUUAUGUGAUGUCUUUCUCUCUGGAUUUCUCUAAUUGUCUCCUUUUGAUGAGAUUGAGAUCAAACAUCUUGGGACAGAAGACUCUGUAGAAGAUUUUAGGUCUGUUAUGUCAUGCCACAUCAGAGGGCACAUGAUGUCCCGUUGCCCCACAGUUCUGUUUGGCCUGUUGCUUAACAUGAUGGCUACCAGACCUUUCCAUUGCAAAGGUGUGGUUUCUCCUUUGAAGUUAAUAAUCCAUUCAGUGACUCUUUGAGACUAUGGGAAUUUUCUUAGCCUUUGUUGAUAUUCCUGUCUGCCCUAGGGUUGCAAAAAUGAUAAUUUUUCUAAUGGACUCUUUUUUUUUUUCCUUUUUGAAGUGCUAGGGAGUCGAUGCAGAGCCUCGCACAUGCUAGGUGAGCUCUCUUCCACUGACCAUACCCUCAGCUCAAUAAUUGACCUAUUUUAUUAGCUGGCAUUCCCUGUAAAGAAAUCCUCAUAGUAUGUCAUGUGUUCUUCCACAACAGACUUGUGACUCUCCUUUCGGCCUCCAGUGUGGCUCACUUGUCUCCGUCUCCUGACAGAAUGAGCAUGCUCAACUGCAAGUCUGGCAGUGUCCAUGCUCUGCUUAAAAUCCUUCAGGGACAUGCUUAAAUCAUUGAGCCCCGCUCAGAGCUUCUUGUGAUCUGGCUCCUUCCUACCUGUUCAUGUUCAUCUCUCUCUGAACCCCCCACCCCCGACAUACUCCAAUCAAACUAUUUACACACUAUCCCACUCCACACUCCUGCACCUCUGCACAAACUAGUCUCUCUACCUGCAAUGCAAGACCCUCUCCCACCCUCCCACCUCAUCUGAUCCCAGCUGUUUUUCAAGCUUUGGCUCCCAUAUCACCUCCUCUGAGCCAAAGUUGAAUAGAUGCCUUUUAAGGACUCUCAUGACACGUGUGCACAUUUCUGUCACUGUGCUUGUUCCCCUGCAUUGUAAAUAUUUGGUGGUUUGUUUGUCUUUCUUACUUGAUUAUAAGAUUGUAAGAUUGUAAGCUUUUUGUCUGUAGGUAAUAGAAAUUGGUGCAAUCUAUGGCAUGAAGUGAGUAUUCAGCAACUAUUUUGCAAUGAUUCAUUAAUGUUUUCUCAAAUUAUUAAGUAAAGAAUGCAACCAGCUUCCAGAACAAUUAGAUGAUAUGAUUGUUAAGGACAAAGCCAUGUCUUGUAAGUUUUCAUGUUGCUCAGAUCCCCCAUCCUCUUGCUUAUUAAUUUGCAUUACCAAUGAAUAAGUUGAUACUUUCAAAAUUGUAUGGAUAUCUUAAUUUUAUAUUUGCCCAGUAUAUUUGCCUUCGGAGACAAUUUCUCCUCCUCUACAUAACAGUUCGGCCAAUCCCUUGCUUGGAUUUCCCCACAUAUGCUGGAAUCCUAAUGUGAGUUAGCCAAUCAGAAUGCUCCAUCCUCCUGGCUGCAGUGAUUGUCAGGUAAGGACCCUUGACCCAGGCCGAGCCCAUCAGAGUCUUCUCAGGGGUUUUUGCUGGAGCCAGGCAGAAAGACAUGCAGAAACAAUGCAAUGCUCUUCAUUGCCUGAGGCCAGCUUUGCUGCUUGGUAGAGAACUGGGAAUGGAACCCACCAAGGUGAGAGAUGACCGUAAUAACAUCAUUUAAACCCCGAAACCCCACAUCUAAAGAGUCAUCAUCCUGGUACAAGAGCCAACAGAUCCUUCUCUUGUUGCCUUUUAAGCUGUUGGAAGCCUUCCUAAUACUCAAGAUCAGCCUUUCACAAUAUUCCAUGUUUGGAAGGAGGUAAAUGGAAUUGGGGGAAUAAGACUUUUACAACUAUUAGUCCUUUGUGGUCUUUUGAGAGUGAUGCUGACAUCUGUAUGAGCACCAUCUGUGCAGCCACCCCACACCCAUCGUCAUCUCUAAGCCUUUCCCACCCCACAACCUGGCCUCUGAUGCCAAGCAGGAAGGAGGCCUUAUCGAGGCUCCCUCUCACCUGCCACAGAAGAAACAGGGUCCCCAUUCUCAUCCUCCAAAGGAGAAAAGCUGGCCGAGAAGACAUGUCAUAAGGGUCAAGACAGGCCAGAAGCCUCAUUAUUUCUGUGCCAGGUGCUUAUUGAACCUCUCCUCAUCACAAAUGACCCAUUGCAUCUAUUUUCUUCUGAGGUCAACACAAACUCUGCAUCUGGAACUAUGAGGGGGCUGUGUGGAGUGGGAAGGAGCAGGGCUACCUCCGGAAACAGAGAUGUGAACAUCCACUCAAAGACCCUCUGAGUAACGUCCAGUGCACUUCUGAGAACUAUUAUUGGAGAUAUUUUUCAGCUUUUGCUUUAAAUUUCUGGAAACAUCCUCAAUGAAGCAUGAGAAGUAAGUAAACAUAGCCUUCUCUAAAGUGGCCUACAGAGCUUAUAGACAAAAGGUUGGGGGGCGUAUUGGGGAGAGAGGAGAGUCUUUGUUUAAAGAAAGUUCUCAUGUCAGCCCUAUUGAGUAUCCUGUGUGAUUAUUUUAGGGGUAAAGGGAAAUAGCCAAGCUCUCUCAGAAGAGUAUUUUUAUGGAUUUAAUUUGAAUUAGCUUAAUUAGAUGCUUUUCUCCUAUUAGCUAAGAUAAACCACCCCAAAAGAACCAGAUUUGUGAUGAAGUAUGGAAGAAGGAGAAUGAAGAAGUAUUUUAUAGUAAGAACUCCUACCCGAGGUCUGGCAGGGACAUCUCUGGAUAGAGAAGAGUGGAGCACAGUUCCCCCCGGGCAGAGGUGAAUUGGAAGAAAAGAAGAACAAUCCAAAGGGAGAGGGAAGAGACAGAAGAAAGAUAAACUAUAAUUACUUUGCAAUUUUGCUGAAGGGUAGAGCUUCUGUUCUUCCCCAAAAUUUGCCCUUGUUGGAGAUCUAGGGUGAAAAUGGUCCAAAUUCAUCACUUUAAGUCUCCAAACUUGGAAAAAAGGGAUCCUCAGCUUCAUCUCCUAGGGCCUAGGCCUAUCUUGGCCCGUAAUUUUUCUGGCCCUUACUACCAAAUUUCAUCCCUAGAAAAGAGGCUGAAACCUGGCUCAGGGCAAUGAAGAGGAAGAGGCGAGUUUAUUUCUUCAAGUCUGUUUCUGAGGUCCUCUCCAUGCUCCAGAGCUAGAGCUCUGUGCUACAGCUACAGGAAGACACACCUGUGUCCUCCUUUACUCAACAAAACAGCAGUCCCAGCCCCCACUUGGACCCAAAGUUGAAAAAGAUAUGAAAGGGGGAUGAUUGUAAGUUUCAGAACAGCCGCAGUUGAGGAGGGAAGUAAGGCCGGGGGGAGGGGGUGGCGGAGAGGGCUUGGAGACCAGAAGGAAGAGGGCUGCUACUUCCUUCCUGCUGCAGGACUGGGUUCUGAGAGCCCUGGUUAUAUAAUUGGAAUACCUGGGGAUUCAGAGCAUCACCUCACAACCAACGUUAGGAAGUGCCAGAGCUCUCCUCCCCGGGGUGGGGAUGGGGGUGCUGAGAACAGGGCACAGCAGAGAGAGGAGGGAGGUUGAAGUCUGAUGCAGGCACCGCCAGGUCAGGACUCGCACUGUGUCCUCCCUGUCCCUGGUGAUACCCCAGAGAGAGGACCAGCUUGGUAACUGCACUCUGGUUCUUAUUGGCCAGAUGUCCUCCCACCCCCAGAAACCACACAGGCCCUGGAGCCUGCCUGGUCUGUGGGGGCGGGGGGUGGACUUCCACGCCCUCUCUGCACAGCUUGCAUCUUUGCCCCACCUUGAUUCUCCUGUGAUCACGGCUGUCAUUAUGGCCGUUCACUGCCCUCAGUCUCAGCAGCAACUCCAGAGACACACAGGCUGUGCCAGCUACCAGAGCUCUUCCUGCAGCCUCUCCAGAUGUCCCCAGAAAGCCAGAGGAAGGCUGAACCUGCAUCCCUGACUAAUGAUCACGCCUUCAAGACGGGAUGCAGCCUGUGACUCAAACUGUGGAGGCACAGCAAAUGGAAGAGGGAGUGGGAGGGAGAAGAGAGGAACAUGGAGGAAAACAAAGAUGGGGGAGGAAGAAAGGAGGAAGGACCCAAGGAAGAAGGGCUUCGGAAGGGCCGUUGACUCUUUAAAGAUGCUCUCCCCCUAUGGCCUCUGCAGUCAUCAAAGUUCCAGACGACAAGAUAAAUAUCUUUACACAACAGUCCAGCAGUCCAGUCUGACAUUACUUUGAAAGAGAACCCAAAUCACAAAAGGAUGUUAUUAUAAUUGCAACUACCGUGACUUGCAAUAUAAGCUCAUGCAUACUGCACACAUGAAUCCAGAUUUUUAUACACUCUGAAAUCCUAAAGACAACAACCACGGUUCUUUUAAAGCUAGAGAAGUGAUUGUAUACCCUCAAAGUGUCUUAGUUUGGUCCUGUUCCAAGAAUCUGGAUCUGGCAAUGAAGGUUACAAAAGAAGAGCCGGGUUCAGUCAUUCCAUAGGAUGCCAUUCUGCCCUGUAAUUCAACAUACCUUAUAGCUGAUUAUGUAUAAUAUUAAGCUAUGUCAGAG
Molecule: long non-coding RNA, 8045 nt
Filed under: Marmota monax (woodchuck)
Lineage: Eukaryota; Metazoa; Chordata; Mammalia; Rodentia; Sciuridae
Source: RNAcentral